CGCCUGGCCUACAAGUUGCGGUUGUGGUCUAAAAAAAAAUGUAUGGGAUAUAGAAUGAAGGAAACAAUGGAGUUAUGCCACUUUAACUCCACUCGGGCGUUUUCCUUCCAUGGCAUCCUUCUUAUUGCGGCAAUCAGCACAAAGGAAAGGCCCCUGCCAGGGCUUGGAGCUGGUGGAGAAGAUUGAACCGGCAUGAACAGAGAUGCCCUCACUCGGAGCAAGGUCAACUUGACAUACAGCACAUGUGAAAAGACCAGAUGUUGAGUGCGUGGUGGAAUCAUCAUUCCCCAGUCUUUCAGCAAGCAU
RNAcentral lists this unclassified non-coding RNA (306 nucleotides) under Hevea brasiliensis (rubber tree). Lineage: Eukaryota; Viridiplantae; Streptophyta; Magnoliopsida; Malpighiales; Euphorbiaceae. The record is from RNAcentral.